AGCUUGAGUUUCUCUUCAUUAUCGCAUAAAUCUUUCGCCUUUUACUAAAGAUUUCUGUGGAGGAGUACUUUUUCCGAGUAAUCUGUAUUUUUGGAGGCUCUGAUCACAGCAGAGCU
RNAcentral lists this small nuclear RNA (116 nucleotides) under Sinocyclocheilus rhinocerous. RNAcentral's name for it is "U5 spliceosomal RNA (ENSSRHG00000018275.1)". It matches the Rfam family "U5 spliceosomal RNA". From Rfam's summary of the family: U5 RNA is a component of both types of known spliceosome. The precise function of this molecule is unknown, though it is known that the 5' loop is required for splice site selection and p220 binding, and that both the 3' stem-loop and the Sm site are important for Sm protein binding and cap methylation. The record is from Rfam by way of RNAcentral. Lineage: Eukaryota; Metazoa; Chordata; Actinopteri; Cypriniformes; Cyprinidae.